This 549-nucleotide ribosomal RNA is filed under the name uncultured Glomeromycotina. RNAcentral's name for it is "SSU rRNA". It matches the Rfam family "Eukaryotic small subunit ribosomal RNA", at positions 548 to 1098 of the family's 1831-position model. The record is from RNAcentral. Lineage: Eukaryota; Fungi; Glomeromycota.
UUGGAGGGCAAGUCUGGUGCCAGCAGCCGCGGUAAUUCCAGCUCCAAUAGCGUAUAUUAAAGUUGUUGCAGUUAAAAAGCUCGUAGUUGAAUUUCGGGAUCAGUAAGCCGGUCGUACCUUCGGUAUGUACUGGUGUCACUGAUUCCUCCCUUCUGAUGAACCGUUAUACCAUUUAGUUGGUGUGGCGGGGAAUCAGGACUGUUACUUUGAGAAAAUUAGAGUGUUUAAAGCAAGCUCGCGCUUGAAUACAUUAGCAUGGAAUAAUAAAAUAGGACGUUUGAUCUCCUAUUUUGUUGGUUUCUAGGAUCGACGUAAUGAUUAAUAGGGAUAGUUGGGGGCAUUAGUAUUCAAUUGUCAGAGGUGAAAUUCUUGGAUUUAUUGAAGACUAACUACUGCGAAAGCAUUUGCCAAGGAUGUUUUCAUUAAUCAAGAACGAAAGUUAGGGGAUCGAAGACGACCAGAUACCGUCGUAGACUUAACCAUAAACUAUGCCGACUAGGGAUCGGAUGAUGUUAAUUAUUAUAACUCAUUCGGCGCCUUACGGGAAAC